CCACUGCUUUCAUUACAAGUCACCUCUGUCUUGUCACAAAAGUUUCUAUCCAUUUCUAUCAAGGUGUGUUUUGCAAUGUACAUUUCAAAUUAUAUGCAUGGGGGUCCGAUCAAGUGGUAACACGUGGAUACAUUUCGUGUUCAACAGUCUCUGUCAUGUAAGCAGAGUAACUUAUAUGAAUGUAUUAUGCAUAUUUGAGUAGGUAUUUAUAAGCUCUUUAACAUUAUGUAUAACAAAA
Long non-coding RNA from Sphaeramia orbicularis (orbiculate cardinalfish), 238 nucleotides. RefSeq lists it as uncharacterized. Lineage: Eukaryota; Metazoa; Chordata; Actinopteri; Kurtiformes; Apogonidae. The transcript has 3 exons. The record is from RefSeq and is a predicted model, not a curated record.